AGACUUGAGGGUUAGGUUGUGGUUGAGCUGGUAGCUUACCCUUCUCUUGAGCACUUAAAGCAGUGGUCAGCGUUGUCAGUUGAUUUCUUAAUUCAUCAUUGAUUUUAGUUUGACCUUGCAUGAAAGAUUGCAAAGUUUCUUCGAGACUGGAUUUUUGAGGGGGUGCAUGUGCAUAAUGAGGGUGCGGAGGUGGAGGAGUUGGGUUAUAUACUUGUUGAGGUUGGUCAUUCCU
RNAcentral lists this long non-coding RNA (232 nucleotides) under Phoenix dactylifera (date palm). Its description in RNAcentral is "long non-coding RNA (PDAC_LNC021131)". The record is from RNAcentral. Lineage: Eukaryota; Viridiplantae; Streptophyta; Magnoliopsida; Arecales; Arecaceae.